GCCUCACAUCAUUUGAGGUGGGAGGUAGAUACUGCUGUCAUACCUAUUUUACUGAUGAGGAAACUGAGGUUCAGAGAGGUUGAGAAAAUUGGACAAGUUUUCAUAGCUAGUGAGUUGAAUUUCAGGCAGUCCAGCUCCAGACUCCAGACUCUUAACUUUGUAAUGCAUAGUUGAUGCUGGAAUUAGAUCAAGUGGUUACUGGAGUAUAAAUGAAUGAUUUCUGUUGGACUUUCUGAAACAAUGACAAAGCACAUAGACAUCCAUUACUGCUCUGGGGACACCUAAGUAGAAGCCUCUACUCUAAAACUUAGAAUGCUUAUUAGUAUCCUGAGCCUUGCGUUGAAUAAAUGUGGCAUUCUCCACAUCACCCUCUGGGAACCCGGAGAACGCUAAGGCGUGAUCAGAUACAACCACAACAUGGUAACUGGGAACACGCAGAACGGGGCAGCCUUACCAAGGGUGCUUACAACCUAAGCAGAGUUUCAUUUCUAAAAGCUGGGCUUAUUUCAAAGAGAAACACCUCACCCAAUAGUCUAUUAUCCUGCAAAUAUGUAUUCAAGGACAUAUGAGUAAUUCUAUUUACCUAAUCAUCGCUAAUGGCUACUUUGGAUCUAUGACAGCUGACCGUGUAAACACGGCUCUUCGAUCCUUCUCGCGGUGCGAUGCUGCUCCCCAGACCAGCACAGCUUCUUCAGGGAACAGGAUUUCCUAGAAGCAAAAUCUGAUGCGUAUCAGACAGGGCUCAGGGUGCUAUAGGAGUUUAUUAGGUCAUUUCAGAUUGUUCUCCUCGGAGCUAAAUGUCAGAAUAUACCAGGGAAUUUGGGCACCACUAAAAUCUUAAUAUCAAUAAAUGUAAAACCUAAACGUUGAUUUUUUAAAAAUGAGAACAGGGUCAGCAUGAUUCUUCAUGGGCAAUAAAUAGAUAAUAGGCAAGGGGAAGUAAUUUAAAAGGAGUUUGUGCAGCCAAACCAAAUACACUAGGUAGCAAAGUUAUGACAAUGCUGAUUACUACACAGCAAAAUCGAAAUUGUCGAUCCUGUCCAGCGGGAGCACAGACGUGAUCCCAGCAUAUCAGGGCGUGCUGAGGGAUGAUGAGCUUGGCUGGUGCCGUGGGCCUCUUACCCACCUCCGUGAUCCAGCUUCGCGUGGAGUCCCCUCUCCCUUGCUGUGUCAGUGGGAGCACAGCACACUCCCGAGGCCCUGCUCCCCUCCUGUGUUCGUGUGCCAGGCCUGCUUUGACCCAGUGCCCGAACGGGGUGGUUUCAAACAACAGAACGGACCUGCCUCACAGUUCUGGAGGCAGGAAGUGUGAAAUCCAGGUUCCAGCAGGGCCCUGCUCCCUCGGAGGUCUGUGUGUGUGUGUGUGUGGGGGGUCCUUCCUUGCCUCUUGCAGCUUCUGGGGGUGGCCAGCAACACUUGGCCUUCCUCGGAUCACAGCCGCCUUGCUCCAGUCUCUGCCCCUGUGGUCACGUGGCCUUCUCUCCUCGUGCGUCUGCACAGGGCGUUCUCCCUGUCUCUCUCUGCCCUUCUUAUGAGGAUGCCAGUCAUGUGGGGUCAAGGGCCCACCCUAAUCCAGUAUGACCUCUUCUUCACUAAUUACGCCCUCAAGGAUCUUAUUUCCAAAUAAGGUCACGUGUGAGGUAGUGGGGGUUAGGACUUUGACAUGUCUUUCUGGGGGACACAAUUCAACCCAUAAUAGCCCCCUUCCCUUGCCUGAGACCUUCUCCUGUCGCUCCUUGCUCUGGGUUUGUAUGGCCUGUAGGCCUCUGCUCCUCAUUUGCACCUGUACCACUUGUCUGUUCCUCACCACGUCCACCUCACAUCAUUGGCUGUUAUCAGAUGCUGUGUGUCUGGUCUCCGGAAUUUUAUUGUAAACUCUCUGAUUUCUAAAGAAUUCUCCCUCAAAUUUAUAUCCACAAGGCACUUAAAACAGUGAUGUGAUAUCAGCAGCACCUUCUACUUUUAGAGUAACUUUAUACUUUUCAGAAUUCUUUCACAAUAUAAUCUAACAUGUGCUCUCAAGCUGCUGGUGUGGUGGACUGGAUUGCUGACAUUAUCCUGGUUUUAUGUCCGAGGGAGGUAAGAUUCAGAGAGGUAAGGUGACAGAGUGAAAUAAUGAGCCGCAUGGCUUGGGCCAGUCCCAGCUGCCUUUCAUUGAAAAAUUUCUUCUUCCUCCCUUCAUUCCCUACAGCUUGAUUAUUAAUGAGCCAAGAGUGCCUCUGGAAAGAGAAACACCCUCCUUCCUCUGAAGGCAAAGUGAGUGAGAGGAGAGAGAGAGGAAAAUGCCUGUGAAUCCAGAGUCUGCCUUUUCCACGAGCACGAGCAGGCUCCGGGAAGGAUACCGGACACAAAGGCAAGGAGCCCAGGCCCUGGAAUUUCACUAAGCACUGUUUACCUUGGACGGCAGGCUUCAGCGCAGUGCUGGACGCUGACAGGUUCAAGCCACACCUCUGCCCCAGCUGCCUUGUUCUGUCCUAUCACUGGGGAGAAAUCCAAAAUACUUGUUUGUCCACCCAGUGCUGCCAAAUGCUUUCCUUUAUAGGAGCUUGAGGUCGAGGCUGGGAGAGUGAUGGAACCAGCCAGGAGAAGCCCCCCCAGUGAAACUGAGCUCAACUGUCCUGGGCUUUCUUCAAAGGGUCGAUGCUGGCCGUUCACAAAUCUCCUGAAAAGAAACUUUUGGCCAAAGACAAAAAAUUCUGGCUUCUCUAAGGAGCAGAUUAAAAGGUGCAACACAGUAGAACACAAAGGUCCCUGGGCCGGUGAUGAGGAGGUUUCAGUUGCACUAACUAGGGCUGCUCGCCUUGAUUCCUCUCGGUUACGUCUGGACAGUGAAGCCACAGAAGUCAAUAACGUGGAAGACCCCGCUCGUUUUCACACUGUGAGAGUCUGUGAAGUUUUCUGGCUUCAGCAAUGUGUUUUCUUUUCUGUUAAGCUAAAUUUUGAAGUUAAAAAAAGUCGUGCAUGUUAAGACAGUGACAUUAAUUUGUAAUCAAACGAUAAAAUUACACUGCGUGUUAGUUCAGAAACAAUGAGUUGUGGGCUUUAACAAGUUUUAAUUCCAUUGCUUUUUAGCUACCAAAUUUAGAUGUUGGGUUUCUAUCAGUAAUAAAAGACCAACAACCCAAUGGAAAAAAUCAGGAAAGGAUAUGAAUGGACUGCUCACAGAUAGGAAAAUAUGAACAGCUCUUCGACACGUGAAAAUAUGUUCAGCUUCAUUCAUAAUAAGAUAAAUGCAAAAUAAAACUAGUCUGUGUUAUCCUUUA
Equus caballus (horse) is the source of this 3263-nucleotide non-coding RNA. NCBI's taxonomy places the organism in Eukaryota, Metazoa, Chordata, Mammalia, Perissodactyla, Equidae. The record is from RefSeq and is a predicted model, not a curated record.